GGGAUUUAUUUUGAUUGUUCUAACUUUUUGAGAUGGUGCCUAGGUGAUUAAUUACCAGGUUUUCUGGUUUUCUAAAAUAUCUUUUUAGGCUAUAAAUUUCUCUCUAAGCA
Molecule: non-coding RNA, 110 nt
Organism: Ceratotherium simum simum (southern white rhinoceros)
Lineage: Eukaryota; Metazoa; Chordata; Mammalia; Perissodactyla; Rhinocerotidae
Source: RefSeq, a predicted model, not a curated record